Cinara cedri is the source of this 299-nucleotide non-coding RNA. The record is from the annotation of a GenBank genome assembly. NCBI's taxonomy places the organism in Eukaryota, Metazoa, Arthropoda, Insecta, Hemiptera, Aphididae.
AAAAUUACAUAAUUCGUCCGGUUCAUUUGAUCCGAAUAUUUCACGGAGGACCAAAUCGUAAGGAAUCACAGGCUAGGUACUUCUUUUUUAACGAAAUGUACUACAAUGUAUAUAAAUUUCGAACGCUACGAGUGAUGCGGUUCCGUGUUAAAUUAAAAUUGAGAACGCGCAGUAUUAGUUAAAACAAACGAUGUGUAUAAAUGCAGCGGUGAACCGAAUAAAAACGUUAGUGUCUUUCGCCGCCACCGCCGUUCACGUUCUGAGUAACAAAGAUCGCAGAUCCGUGUGACCAUACCUCU